Salvelinus sp. IW2-2015 is the source of this 298-nucleotide long non-coding RNA. RefSeq lists it as uncharacterized. Lineage: Eukaryota; Metazoa; Chordata; Actinopteri; Salmoniformes; Salmonidae. The record is from RefSeq and is a predicted model, not a curated record.
AGGCUGGUUUAAUGAGUUGUCUAUGAAAGCUACUUCAUCUGCAAGAAAACAGGCAGCUACACCAGUGACUGUGUCAGUAAUCUAAAAUUAGUCUCUCUGGGGAGAGAGAGGAGGGAGGCCCUGCCUCUAAAAUGAGUCUCUCUGGGGAACAUGACACCAAAGCUAAGAGUCCAAUCAAGCAGGAGAGACCAGCCUCCCCUGUUCCCAGCUGUGUGUCCAUGAAGAGUGACUGGUCUAUGGGUCAUCCUAUACUGUUUAGAGAGGGAGACUUUUCUACUGAACAAAGGUAAGAAGAACU